RNAcentral lists this ribosomal RNA (1341 nucleotides) under uncultured Pseudomonadota bacterium. Its description in RNAcentral is "bacterial SSU rRNA". It matches the Rfam family "Bacterial small subunit ribosomal RNA". Lineage: Bacteria; Pseudomonadati; Pseudomonadota. The record is from RNAcentral.
GAGUUUGAUCCUGGCUCAGAGCGAACGCUGGCGGCAUGCUUAACACAUGCAAGUCGCACGGGCAGGGCAACCUGUCAGUGGCGGACGGGUGAGUAACGCGUAGGUAUCUAUCCUUGGGUGGGGGGCAACCGUGGGAAACUACGGCUAAUACCGCAUGACAACUGAGGUUUAAAGGCGCAAGUCGCCUGAGGAGGAGCCUGCGUACGAUUAGCUAGUUGGUGGGGUAAAGGCCUACCAAGGCUGCGAUCGUUAGCUGGUCUGAGAGGAUGAUCAGCCACAUUGGGACUGAGACACGGCCCAAACUCCUACGGGAGGCAGCAGUGGGGAAUAUUGGACAAUGGGCGAAAGCCUGAUCCAGCAAUGCCGCGUGUGUGAAGAAGGUCUUCGGAUUGUAAAGCACUUUCGACGGGGACGAUGAUGACGGUACCCGUAGAAGAAGCCCCGGCUAACUUCGUGCCAGCAGCCGCGGUAAUACGAAGGGGGCUAGCGUUGCUCGGAAUGACUGGGCGUAAAGGGCGCGUAGGCGGAUGACACAGUCAGAUGUAAAAUUCCCGGGCUUAACCUGGGGGCUGCAUUUGAUACGUGUUGUCUAGAGUGAGGAAGAGGGUUGUGGAAUUCCCAGUGUAGAGGUGAAAUUCGUAGAUAUUGGGAAGAACACCGGUGGCGAAGGCGGCAACCUGGUCCUUGACUGACGCUGAGGCGCGAAAGCGUGGGGAGCAAACAGGAUUAGAUACCCUGGUAGUCCACGCUGUAAACGAUGUGUGCUGGAUGUUGGGCGACCUAGUCGCUCAGCGUCGUAGCUAACGCGAUAAGCACACCGCCUGGGGAGUACGGCCGCAAGACUGAAACUCAAAGAAAUUGACGGGGACCCGCACAAGCGGUGGAGCAUGUGGUUUAAUUCGAGGCUACGCGAAGAACCUUACCCAGGCUUGACAUGGUUAAGACAGCGCAUGAAAGUGCGUCUCUCCGCAAGGAGCUUUUCCACAGGUGCUGCAUGGCUGUCGUCAGCUCGUGCUGUGAAGUGUUGGGUUAAGUCCCGCAACGAGCGCAACCUUUGUCUUUAGUUGCCAUCACGUUAUGGUGGGCACUCUAGAGAGACUGCCGGUGAUAAACUGGAGGAAGGAGGAGACGACGUCAAGUCAGUAUGGCCCUUAUGCCUGGGGCUACACACGUGCUACAAUGGCCGUUACAAAGGGCUGCAAAACCGUGAGGUGGAGCAAAUCCCAAAAAGACGGCCUCAAUUCAGAUUGGAGGCUGCAACUCGCCUCCAUGAAGUCGGAAUCGCUAGUAACGGUAGAUCAGCAUCGCUACCGUGAAUACGUUCCUGGGCCUUGCACACAC